GGCCAAGUUUUUAAGGGCGCACGGUGGAUGCCUUGGCACCAGGAACCGAUGAAGGACGUGGGAGGCCGCGAUAGUCCCCGGGGAGUCGUCAACCAGGCUUUGAUCCGGGGGUUUCCGAAUGGGGAAACCCGGCAGUCGUCAUGGGCUGUCACCCGCUGCUGAACACAUAGGCAGUGUGGAGGGAACGCGGGGAAGUGAAACAUCUCAGUACCCGCAGGAAGAGAAAACAACCGUGAUUCCGGGAGUAGUGGCGAGCGAAACUGGAUGAGGCCAAACCGUAUGCGUGUGAGACCCGGCAGGGGUUGCGUAUGCGGGGUUGUGGGAUCUCUCUUCCACGGUCUGCCGGCCGUGGGACGAGUCAGAAACCGUUGAUGUAGGCGAAGGACAUGCGAAAGGUCCGGCGUAGAGGGUAAGACCCCCGUAGUCGAAACGUCAGCGGCUCGUUUGAGAGACACCCAAGUAGCACGGGGCCCGAGAAAUCCCGUGUGAAUCUGGCGGGACCACCCGCUAAGCCUAAAUAUUCCCUGGUGACCGAUAGCGGAUAGUACCGUGAGGGAAUGGUGAAAAGUACCCCGGGAGGGGAGUGAAAUAGUACCUGAAACCGUGUGCCUACAAGCCGUGGGAGCGUCGGAUGCAGCUUGCUGUAUCUCGUGACUGCGUGCCUUUUGAAGAAUGAGCCUGCGAGUUUGCGGUGUGUUGCGAGGUUAACCCGGGUGGGGUAGCCGUAGCGAAAGCGAGUCCGAAUAGGGCGUUUCAGUAGCGCGCUCAAGACCCGAAGCGGAGUGAUCUAGCCAUGGGCAGGUUGAAGCGGAGGUAAGACUUCGUGGAGGACCGAACCCACCAGGGUUGAAAACCUGGGGGAUGACCUGUGGUUAGGGGUGAAAGGCCAAUCAAACUCCGUGAUAGCUGGUUCUCCCCGAAAUGCAUUUAGGUGCAGCGUCGUGUGUUUCUUGCCGGAGGUAGAGCACUGGAUAGGCGAUGGGCCCUACCGGGUUACUGACCUUAGCCAAACUCCGAAUGCCGGUAAGUGAGAGCGCGGCAGUGAGACUGUGGGGGAUAAGCUCCAUGGUCGAGAGGGAAACAGCCCAGAGCAUCGACUAAGGCCCCUAAGCGUACGCUAAGUGGGAAAGGAUGUGGAGUCGCACAGACAACCAGGAGGUUGGCUUAGAAGCAGCCACCCUUGAAAGAGUGCGUAAUAGCUCACUGGUCAAGUGAUUCCGCGCCGACAAUGUAGCGGGGCUCAAGCGUACCGCCGAAGUCGUGUCAUUGACACAUGUACCUCCAACGAGGGUGUUGAUGGGUAGGGGAGCGUCGUCUGCCGGGUGAAGCAGCCGCGUAAGCGAGUUGUGGACGGUUGACGAGUGAGAAUGCAGGCAUGAGUAGCGAUACAAACGUGAGAAACGUUUGCGCCGAUUGACUAAGGGUUCCUGGGUCAAGCUGAUCUGCCCAGGGUAAGUCGGGACCUAAGGCGAGGCCGACAGGCGUAGUCGAUGGAUAACCGGUUGAUAUUCCGGUACCCGCCGUGAAGCGUCAAACAUUGAAUCCAGUGAUGCUAAGCCCGUGAAGCCGCCCCUGAUCUCUUCGGAGUGAGGGGGAGUGGUGGAGCCGGUGACCCGAGCUGGUAGUAGGUGAGUGAUGGGGUGACGCAGGAAGGUAGUCCAUCCCGGGCGGUGGUUGUCCCGGGGUAAGGGUGUAGGCCGUGCGAUAGGUAAAUCCGUCGCACAUAAGGCUGAGACCUGAUGCCGAGCCGAUUGUGGUGAAGUGGAUGAUCCUAUGCUGUCGAGAAAAGCCUCUAGCGAGUUUCAUGGCGGCCCGUACCCUAAACCGACUCAGGUGGUCAGGUAGAGAAUACCGAGGCGUUCGGGUGAACUAUGGUUAAGGAACUCGGCAAAAUGCCCCCGUAACUUCGGGAGAAGGGGGGCCACAUCCGGUGACGGCACUUGCUGCCGGAGCUGGGGGUGGCCGCAGAGACCAGCGAGAAGCGACUGUUUACUAAAAACACAGGUCCGUGCGAAGCCGUAAGGCGAUGUAUACGGACUGACGCCUGCCCGGUGCUGGAACGUUAAGGGGACCGGUUAGCUCCAUUUCGGUGGGGCGAAGCUGAGAACUUAAGCGCCAGUAAACGGCGGUGGUAACUAUAACCAUCCUAAGGUAGCGAAAUUCCUUGUCGGGUAAGUUCCGACCUGCACGAAUGGCGUAACGACUUCUCGACUGUCUCAACCAUAGGCCCGGUGAAAUUGCACUACGAGUAAAGAUGCUCGUUUCGCGCAGCAGGACGGAAAGACCCCGGGACCUUUACUACAGUUUGAUAUUGGUGUUCGGUUCGGCUUGUGUAGGAUAGCUGGGAGACUUUGAAACGCGGACGCCAGUUCGUGUGGAGUCGUCGUUGAAAUACCAGUCUGGUCGUGCUGGAUGUCUAACCUGGGUCCGUGAUCCGGAUCAGGGACAGUGUCUGAUGGGUAGUUUAACUGGGGCGGUUGCCUCCUAAAGGGUAACGGAGGCGCCCAAAGGUUCCCUCAGCCUGGUUGGCAAUCAGGUGUUGAGUGUAAGUGCACAAGGGAGCUUGACUGUGAGACCGACGGGUCGAGCAGGGACGAAAGUCGGGACUAGUGAUCCGGCGGUGGCUUGUGGAAGCGCCGUCGCUCAACGGAUAAAAGGUACCCCGGGGAUAACAGGCUGAUCUUCCCCAAGAGUCCAUAUCGACGGGAUGGUUUGGCACCUCGAUGUCGGCUCGUCGCAUCCUGGGGCUGGAGUCGGUCCCAAGGGUUGGGCUGUUCGCCCAUUAAAGCGGUACGCGAGCUGGGUUUAGAACGUCGUGAGACAGUUCGGUCCCUAUCCGCUGUGCGCGUAGGAGUCUUGAGAAGGGCUGUCCCUAGUACGAGAGGACCGGGACGGACGAACCUCUGGUGUGCCAGUUGUUCUGCCAAGGGCAUGGCUGGUUGGCUACGUUCGGGAGGGAUAACCGCUGAAAGCAUCUAAGCGGGAAGCCUGCUUCGAGAUGAGGACUCCCACCCACUUGAUGGGGUAAGGCUCCCAGUAGACGACUGGGUUGAUAGGCCGGAUAUGGAAGCACGGUAACGUGUGGAGUUGACCGGUACUAAUAGGCCGAGGGCUUGUCCUC
This 3121-nucleotide ribosomal RNA is filed under the name Streptomyces spinoverrucosus. RNAcentral describes it as "23S ribosomal RNA". It matches the Rfam family "Bacterial large subunit ribosomal RNA". Lineage: Bacteria; Bacillati; Actinomycetota; Actinomycetes; Kitasatosporales; Streptomycetaceae. The record is from RNAcentral.